GAUUGAACGCUGGCGGCAGGCCUAACACAUGCAAGUCGAACGGUAACAGGAAGCAGCUUGCUGCUUCGCUGACGAGUGGCGGACGGGUGAGUAAUGUCUGGGAAACUGCCUGAUGGAGGGGGAUAACUACUGGAAACGGUAGCUAAUACCGCAUAACGUCGCAAGACCAAAGAGGGGGACCUUCGGGCCUCUUGCCAUCGGAUGUGCCCAGAUGGGAUUAGCUAGUAGGUGGGGUAACGGCUCACCUAGGCGACGAUCCCUAGCUGGUCUGAGAGGAUGACCAGCCACACUGGAACUGAGACACGGUCCAGACUCCUACGGGAGGCAGCAGUGGGGAAUAUUGCACAAUGGGCGCAAGCCUGAUGCAGCCAUGCCGCGUGUAUGAAGAAGGCCUUCGGGUUGUAAAGUACUUUCAGCGGGGAGGAAGGUGUUGAGGUUAAUAACCUCAGCAAUUGACGUUACCCGCAGAAGAAGCACCGGCUAACUCCGUGCCAGCAGGCCGCGGUAAUACGGAGGGUGCAAGCGUUAAUCGGAAUUACUGGGCGUAAAGCGCACGCAGGCGGUCUGUCAAGUCGGAUGUGAAAUCCCCGGGCUCAACCUGGGAACUGCAUUCGAAACUGGCAGGCUAGAGUCUUGUAGAGGGGGGUAGAAUUCCAGGUGUAGCGGUGAAAUGCGUAGAGAUCUGGAGGAAUACCGGUGGCGAAGGCGGCCCCCUGGACAAAGACUGACGCUCAGGUGCGAAAGCGUGGGGAGCAAACAGGAUUAGAUACCCUGGUAGUCCACGCCGUAAACGAUGUCGACUUGGAGGUUGUGCCCUUGAGGCGUGGCUUCCGGAGCUAACGCGUUAAGUCGACCGCCUGGGGAGUACGGCCGCAAGGUUAAAACUCAAAUGAAUUGACGGGGGCCCGCACAAGCGGUGGAGCAUGUGGUUUAAUUCGAUGCAACGCGAAGAACCUUACCUACUCUUGACAUCCAGAGAACUUAGCAGAGAUGCUUUGGUGCCUUCGGGAACUCUGAGACAGGUGCUGCAUGGCUGUCGUCAGCUCGUGUUGUGAAAUGUUGGGUUAAGUCCCGCAACGAGCGCAACCCUUAUCCUUUGUUGCCAGCGGUCCGGCCGGGAACUCAAAGGAGACUGCCAGUGAUAAACUGGAGGAAGGUGGGGAUGACGUCAAGUCAUCAUGGCCCUUACGAGUAGGGCUACACACGUGCUACAAUGGCGCAUACAAAGAGAAGCGACCUCGCGAGAGCAAGCGGACCUCAUAAAGUGCGUCGUAGUCCGGAUUGGAGUCUGCAACUCGACUCCAUGAAGUCGGAAUCGCUAGUAAUCGUGGAUCAGAAUGCCACGGUGAAUACGUUCCCGGGCC
RNAcentral lists this ribosomal RNA (1364 nucleotides) under uncultured bacterium. RNAcentral's name for it is "bacterial SSU rRNA". It matches the Rfam family "Bacterial small subunit ribosomal RNA", at positions 27 to 1380 of the family's 1533-position model. The record is from RNAcentral.